RNAcentral lists this ribosomal RNA (413 nucleotides) under Megophrys major. RNAcentral's name for it is "Xenophrys major partial 16S ribosomal RNA". It matches the Rfam family "Archaeal large subunit ribosomal RNA", at positions 1927 to 2490 of the family's 2987-position model. Lineage: Eukaryota; Metazoa; Chordata; Amphibia; Anura; Megophryidae. The record is from RNAcentral.
CUUGCACCCUAUAAGAGGUAAUGCCUGCCCAGUGACCAUGUGUUCAACGGCCGCGGUAUUCUGACCGCGCGAAGGUAGCGUAAUCACUUGUCUUCUAAAUAAAGACUAGUAUGAACGGCCACACGAAGACUUAACUGUCUCCCCUGUCCAAUCAGUGAAACUGAUCUCCUUGUGCAGAAGCGAGGAUAAACCCAUAAGACGAGAAGACCCUAUGGAGCUUUAAACUUAAUAUUAACUACUUCUAUAAUCCCCUCUAAGGAAUUAACAAAUAACCCUUUUCAACUUAAUAUUAGUUUUAGGUUGGGGCGACCAUGGAGAAAAAAAUAUCCUCCCUGAUGACUUUUAAACCAAGAGCUACAGCUCUAAGUAUUAAGAUACUUAACUUCCAUUGACCCAUUUUAUGAUCAACGAAC